Molecule: RNA transcript, 3911 nt
Organism: Ctenopharyngodon idella (grass carp)
Lineage: Eukaryota; Metazoa; Chordata; Actinopteri; Cypriniformes; Xenocyprididae
Gene: esr2b
Gene name: estrogen receptor 2b
Exons: 11
Source: RefSeq, a predicted model, not a curated record
UAAUUUUUAAAUCCAAAGACAGAUUUCUGCCAAAGUACAACCAGUCAAAGUGCGCUAUUAGGACACUACCAGGUGUUUUCAUGUCUCUCUCUCUUUCUCUCUUGGGUCCGUCGCUUACUUCAGUGCUGUUCUUUCUCUUUGUGCGCGCAGUAAAUCAGAUCGAUACGGCGCAGCGCGUUCACAGCUGAUCAAACAGAUCUCUGCUCUCCAGCUCACAUCACCUGCUGCUGUCGCAAGAACUUCCUCUGACACAGGUGGGCCUGUGAUGCAGUAGUCUGUCAAGCCAGGACCUCGCUUGAGUUCUCCAGAAUGAGCUCCUCCCCUGAUCCAGCCCCUACGUCAGUCUCCCCUGUCCUGGACUCCGGCAAGGCUGAUCGAGGGGACUCGCCUAAACUCUUACCCCAUCUGUACACUUCCCCACUUGGCAUGGAUAACCAGACCAUCUGCAUUCCAUCUCCGUAUUUGGAAGCCUGUCAGGAUUAUUCACCACCGCACGGAGGAGAGUUUAACCAUGGAGCUUUAACUCUGUACAGCCCGGUUUCCUCCUCAGUGCUAGGGUACCCUCAUCCCCCCGUGUCUGAAAGCCUAGUCCCGCUCAGUCCCACAGUCUUCUGGCCUUCCCACACCACACACACUGCGCUGUCUCUGCACUGCCCACCUCCCCUGGCCUACAGCGAAACACACUCACACACUGCCUGGGACGAUGCCAAGAAACACACGCUUAACCAGAACAGUUCUGUCCUUACUCAUGCAAAGCUGUUAGGGCAGCAAGUGGAAGGUGAUGAUGGCUUGAAUCCUUCACCAGGCAUUGUGGGUAAAGGAGACACACACUUCUGUGCGGUGUGUCAUGACUACGCCUCUGGGUAUCACUAUGGUGUCUGGUCAUGUGAGGGGUGCAAGGCUUUCUUCAAACGGAGCAUUCAAGGACACAAUGACUAUAUUUGUCCAGCCACCAACCAGUGCACCAUUGACAAGAGCCGACGCAAGAGCUGCCAGGCCUGUCGACUCCGCAAGUGCUAUGAAAUGGGCAUGAUGAAGUGUGGUGUGAGGCGGGAACGCUGCAGUUACCGAGGUGCUCGUCAUCGCCGCAACCCCCAAAUCAGAGACAGCUCGGGUGGGGCGUUAGGGGUCAGAGGUUGUUCCCAGCAUCAUUUAGAAGUUCCUCUCAAUCCCACUCAUCACCUCUUCCCUUCAGGGGGCAGAGCUGAGGGGCGUGGCCUGAGCUUCUCCCCUGAGCAGUUGGUGAACUGUAUUCUGGAGGCGGAGCCUCCUCAGAUUUGCCUGAGAGAGCCAAUGAAGAAGCCGUACACGGAGGCCAGCAUGAUGAUGUCACUCACCAGCCUCGCUGACAAGGAACUGGUGCUCAUGAUCAGCUGGGCCAAGAAGAUACCAGGUUUUGUGGAGCUGACACUUUCAAAUCAGGUACAUCUAUUGGAAUGCUGCUGGCUGGAUAUUCUGAUGUUGGGAUUGAUGUGGAGAUCUGUGGAUCAUCCCGGGAAACUCAUCUUCUCACCUGACCUCAAACUGAACAGGGAUGAAUGGAAUUGUGUUGAAGGCAUCAUGGAGAUCUUUGACAUGCUGGUGGCCACCACCUCCAGAUUCAGAGAACUGAAGCUACAGAGGGAGGAAUACGUCUGUCUCAAAGCCAUGAUCCUUCUCAACUCUAAUAACUGUUCAAGCUUGUCACAGACUCCUGAAGAUGUGGAGAGUCGUGGGAAGGUUCUGAGGCUGCUGGACUCUGUAACUGACGCUCUGGUUUGGAGCAUCUCCAGAACGGGCUUGUCCUCUCAGCAGCAGUCCAUCCGGCUCGCCCAUCUGCUGAUGCUGCUUUCACACAUUCGACACCUCAGCAACAAAGGCAUUGAGCAUCUGUCAAACAUGAAAAGAAAAAACGUGGUGCUGCUGUAUGAUCUUCUGCUGGAGAUGCUGGACGCCAACACGUCCCAGAGCAACCGGAUGCUGGCGGCUCACACAGAAGCCUCUCUCCGGUCAGACACACAACAGACCCUCCACACAUCCAGACCGCAGCCUGCACCGAGAGAGAGAGACCAGGAGACCCGGCACAGUCCACACAAAUCAGCAUAUCAGAAUGAUUUCUGAAGGAUCAUGUGACACUGAAGACUGGAGUAAUGAUGCUGGAAACUCAGCUUUGACAUCACAGGAAUAAAUUGCAUUUUAGAGCUGAGGAGACAUUGCACUCUGGUCAUCAUCGAGAGGACAUGGAGACAGACUGACAGUCUUUCUUCUGUAUAGUAAUUGAAUUCGGACCAUCCAUCCUUUUUUUUUAAGCCACUUGUAUUGUGUAGGAGAUUUAAACCAGACCUGGGAAAAAGAACUGUAGGUUAUCAACGACAACCUGAACCAAACAAGGCUUACGAAUGCUGUUUAUUCCUACUUCAAGACAAUGCAGUUUGAACUAUAUUGUUUCCUUUUAUGCCAUAAUGUCAACCUGAAGAGAAAUUCAUGUCAUCCAAACCAAUCUUGUUCAAUGUUCAAGAAAUCACAAAUGGAAUCUUUUUAGGGCUGUAUCCAGUUCUUUUUAAUGUGAAGUGUGUCAUUUCUGUGCCACUAACGGUGCCAAACAGAAAAACACGAUUUAAACACUCCCCCUUUCUGCCAUUCCUCAGCAACCAGGUAGCCCCACCCCAAACUCAUGCUAUUGGUCGAGCUAGUGUAACGUUGUGUCCUUUUGGGCCAUUCAAACAUAUAGCAGAAAUUACACCAUGCACAUUUAAACAUUUUGUUUGUCAUCCAAGAUCUCUGAUUCAACCUGACUCAACCUCUGACUCAACAUGACUGUUUCUCUGACUGGCCAAACUAAAGGAAACGGUGCGCACACUUAGUUUAUGCAUUUUGUACUCCGUGUCUGUAUUUUUAAGUGGUGUUAUUUGCUGUCCUGUGGUGAUUUUGUGGUUUAUAAAGUACUUGUCAUUGAAAGUAAAUGUGACACUUUUAAAAACCUUUGCAGCUGUUCUCUUAAAGCCCAGAUUACAUGCACAAUCAGGUGUAUUAUUCUGGAAACAAUGACUUUUGUAAUUCCGGAUGCAUUUGAAGUAUUCCUGGUGCUACAAGUGUUAGUAAUGUUGCAUCCUGGAAAAAUGGCUUGUGCAAUUACAGCCUGCACCUGAAUUGCCCUGACAAACGGCAAUUGCCUUAAAGCUGGAGUGUAUAAUUUCUGCAUGUCACCAAGUAGUAUUACAAAAGUAUUUUUCUAACAUUUUUUCCAAACACUCCCUCAUCUGCCAUUGGUUGGACAAACACAGUCCCAAACUCAUGCCAUUGGUGAGCGUACUGUACUGAGCAGGUAGAGACACUCAAACAAACAGUAUUUUAACUCUUUCCCCACCACUGACGGCAUUUUCUGGUUUUCCGUGUUUUCACUGUUACAUUGUAGGGGGCACUAUUACACAUCUUCUGAAAGAGUACAGAAUCUCUGGAUCAAAACACAGGCAAAAAAGGAGCAGAAACAAGUAAUAAAAGCAUUACUUAUACACGUUGUAGACUUUGAACCCCCGCAAUUUUCUCAGAUUUUUGUUCAAAAUGUUGCUUUUUUUUUAUAAAACACCCAUAUUCAAGUGUUGAUAAAAAAAAAAAGAAUGCAUGAAACUUAAAAGCAGAGGCUCUGUUCUUUCGAUAUACUGCAUGUUCAGAUAUACAAACAACAAAAUAUUCUGGGGGCCAAUACAUUUUUGUAAAAAUUAUUGAAAAUGCUGGUGGUGGCUGGCAACGUUAAAAAAAAAAAAAAACGCUGGUGGGGAAAGAGUUAAUAGCUCCACUGAGAUUACAGUUUUUGGGAAGUUAACUUACAAACAGCUUAUAGUUUUUUGGUUAAACUGAGGUAACAGAAAGUAUUUUAACUAGUGCUGUCAAACAAUUAAUCGCAUCCAAAAUAAAAGUUUGUGUUUAUGUAA